RNAcentral lists this ribosomal RNA (500 nucleotides) under uncultured soil bacterium. Its description in RNAcentral is "bacterial SSU rRNA". It matches the Rfam family "Bacterial small subunit ribosomal RNA", at positions 26 to 527 of the family's 1533-position model. The record is from RNAcentral.
AGAUUGAACGCUGGCGGCAUGCCUUACACAUGCAAGUCGAACGGCAGCACGGGAGCAAUCCUGGUGGCGAGUGGCGAACGGGUGAGUAAUAUAUCGGAACGUGCCCAGUCGUGGGGGAUAACGCAGCGAAAGCUGUGCUAAUACCGCAUACGAUCUCUGGAUGAAAGCGGGGGACUCAGCAAUGGGCCUCGCGCGAUUGGAGCGGCCGAUAUCAGAUUAGCUAGUUGGCGGGGUAAAAGCCCACCAAGGCGACGAUCUGUAGCUGGUCUGAGAGGACGACCAGCCACACUGGAACUGAGACACGGUCCAGACUCCUACGGGAGGCAGCAGUGGGGAAUUUUGGACAAUGGGCGAAAGCCUGAUCCAGCAAUGCCGCGUGCAGGAUGAAGGCCUGGUUGUAACUGUCUUUGUACGGUAACGAAACGGUACGUACUUUAAUUAAAGGUAGGACUAAUGAACGUACGUAAGAAAUAAGACACCGACGUAACUAACGUAGACCG